UUUUUUUUUUUUUUUUUUUCCCCCUUUGGGACACUCAGAGCUAUGAUAUUUCCUUUUAGAACUGCUUUCAUUGUGUCUGAUAAGUUUGGGUAUGUUGUGGCUUAACUUUUAUUAAACUCUAAAAAGUCUUUAAUUUCUUUAUUUCUUCCUUGAUCAAGGUAUCGAGUAGAGUGUUGUUCAGCUUCCACAUGAAUGUUGGCUUUCUAUUAUUUAUGUUGUUAUUGAAGAUCAGCCUUAGUCUGUGGUGAUCUGAUAGGAUGCAUGGGAUAAUUUCAAUAUUUUUGUAUCUGUUGAGGCCUGUUUUGUGAUCAAUUAUAUGGUCAAUUUUGGAGAAGAUGCCAUGAGGUGCUGAGAAGAAGGUAUAUCCUUUUGUUUUAGGAUUAAAUGUUCUGUAGAUAUCUGUUAAAUCCAUUUGUUUCAUAACUUCUGUUAAUUUCAAUAUGUCUCUCUUUAGUUUCUGUUUCCAGGAUCUGUCCAUUGAUGAGAGUGGGGUGUUGAAGUCUCCUACUAUUAUUUUGUGAGGUGCAAUGUAUGCUUUGAGCUUUACUAUAGUUUAUUUAAUGAAUGUGGAUGCCCUUGCAUUUGGAGCAUAGAUAUUCAGAAUUGAGAAUUCAUUUUGGAAGAUUUAACCUUCUAUGAGUAUGAAGUGCUCCUUUUUGUCUUUUUUGAUAGCUUUGGGUUGGAAGUUGAUUUUAUUCGAUAUUAGAAUGGCUACUCCAGCUUGUUUCUUCGGACCAUUUGCUUGGAAAAUUGUUUUCCAGCCUUUCAUUCUGAGGUAGUGUCUGUCUUUUUCCCUGAGGUGGGUUUCCUGUAAGCAGCAAAAAGUUGGGUCCUGUUUAUGUAGCCAGUCUGUUAGUCUAUGUCUUUUUAUUGGGAAAUUUGAGUCCAUUGAUAUUAAGAGUUAUUAAGGAAAAGUAAUUGUUGCUUCCUUUUAUUUUUGUUGUUAAAGUUGGGAUUCUGUUCUUGUGGCUGUCUUCUUUUAGGUUUGUUGAAGGAUUACUUUCUUGCUUUUUCUAGGGUGUAGUUUCCAUCCUUGUGUUGGUGUUUUCCCUUUAUUAUCCUUUGAAGGGCUGGAUUUGAGGAAAGAUACUGUGUGAAUUUGGUUUUGUCAUGGAAUACUUUGGUUUCUCCAUAUAUGGUAAUUGAGUUUUGCUGGGUAUAGUAGCAUGGGCUGGCAUUUGCGUUCUCUUAGGGUCUGCAUAACAUCUGUCUAGGAUCUUCUGGCUUUCCUAGUCUCUGGUGAGAAGCCUGGUGUAAUUCUAAUAGGUCUGCUUUAUAUGUUAUUUGACCUUUUUCCAUUACUGCUUUUAAUAUUCUAUCUUUAUUUAGUACAUUUGUUGUUCUGAUUAUUAUGUGUUGGGAGGAAUUUCUUUUCUGGUCCAGUCUAUCUGGGAUUCUGUAGGCUUCUUGUAUGUUCCUGGGCAUCUCUUUCUUUAGGGAUACAAGUUGACACUCUCACCUGAUUCCCAGGGUCAGAGCCCUCUCUGGAGGCUGACUCUCCUCUGGUGGGGAAGGUGCACAGAGUAAAAAUCAAUUUAAAAAAAGAAGUUACAACUCUAAGAUGCCAUCAUUCAAAUGCCAGGCAACAAUUCUUAUAAUUCCAUCUUCUUGGUUUUCUAAGAAGCUUGGACUUUAACCCAGACCAGUGAUCCUAGCAUCCUGGGCGUGCUAGGGUGCCUGCAGCGUGGUGAGUCCUUUGGGGACAGUGGGACUGUCCCCUGAGUUCAUGCCCACCUUUGCCCGGGGAUGGCACCGACCAGCUCAACUAGUUUUUAAGCUGAAGAGUUUUCUUUCCCCAAGAGGUCCUUGUAUUUUAGCCUGUAUAUGGAGAUCUUGUUAAAAUGCCUUUCCUAUGUCAUUAGGGGGUCUUGGAUUCUGCAUUAUAACAAGUUCUCAGAGGAGGCUGAAGCUACUGGUCCCCAAGCCAAACCCCUUCCUGGUUUGAAAAUCACUGGUUUGGCUCUGAGCUUCAGUUGUAUGUGUUUUUGUAUGGUUGAAUGGGGAAGGAAUGGUUUUGGUAUAAGAACUUCUUACAGGUUUGUCUAACCAGGAGUAUUUUGAGCAAUUUGCCACAGGGGUGAAGUUAAAGUUUUCUUCAAUAGUUUGAUGCUGUCCUGGAGCAGAGACAUGUCUGUUGUGUACAGCUUUCCCAGAAGGUCUUAAAUCUUUUCAGUUAUUCUGUUUGUUUAAGGGAAACUGACUAACCAGGUAUAGGGUCAUAAAGCACAUUAAUGCAUCAGAUACCGUGUAUUUACAAUGGCUGCUGUUCUCUUUACUAGUAAUCGUUCUUGAUGAUAGGGCCAACUAUAGAUUUUAAAAAUGCAUAUUUGGUUUGAAUUUCAUACUGAUGACUUUUCCUGUCAGUAACCGUUGCAGGGAUUUUAACCUUGAGAACAUAAAGUCUUGACUUACUUAAAAAAUAUUCAUUUUUUUUUAAAACAACCUUAGGAACAGGGGAGAUGGUCCAGUUGAUAAAUUGUUUGCUUGUUGCCUAGCAGAAUUGGUGAGUUCUAGGUUCAGUUAGAGACUAUGUUUCAGAAAAUGGGGUAGAAAGUAAUUGAGAAAGACACAUCAUUCUACCCCCUGAUAUCUCAUUAGUACACCUGUAUCACAUGCACACACACACACACACACUCACGUGUAUACAAAUAAAAAAGAAGAAAAUUAAGAAAAUUGAAUAAAAUACAAAUUUAUGAAAUUCUUGAUUAUUUAUUAGAUUUUUUUUUUUUUUUUGUUAACAAAGUAUUACCAAAGCAUACCAAACUAAUUACUUGAAUGAACCAUUCCUCUUAUUUCAUUUCUGGCCUGCAAGGCUCUUAUGCCUUUCCUAUAGCUUUCCCUAUGCCUUUACAAACCUAGAUUUUCAAAGAUUCUGGAUAUUUUCCAUAUGACUGUUGAUGUGCAUUUGUGUGAUCUUAAAAAUAUUAAUUUGAGCUAUGGAGUGAUAAUUUAUUUAAUUUGAGUGGGAAUUAACAUAGGGAGUUGAGGAUUCAAGGGGAAUCCUAUACAAUGGGAGUUCAGUUUUAGGGUUCUAAACAAAACAUUUUGAUUGGCAUGUGGAGACCCUUUGUUCACACAGACAUCCAUAUUUAAAUAUUUAUAGAAUAUAAUAUGUCAAAAUUGCUGUUAUUUUAAUUUGCUUAGUUUGGCUGAUUACUGCAACUUGAUGGUAGUUGAAUUCUAGAUGAAGAGCUCUAAAUACAUUCUGGAGUGCAAUAUGCUUUGUCCUUGAAGCUCCAUGGGUUUUCCUCCCACCUCUAAAUUGUGGGGUCUUUUUGACAAACUUGAUAAACCUUCAUACUCCUUUUAGGG
This 3312-nucleotide long non-coding RNA is filed under the name Mus musculus (house mouse). Its description in RNAcentral is "long non-coding RNA chr12:77320311-77323623". The record is from RNAcentral. Lineage: Eukaryota; Metazoa; Chordata; Mammalia; Rodentia; Muridae.